RNAcentral lists this ribosomal RNA (481 nucleotides) under uncultured bacterium. Its description in RNAcentral is "partial 16S ribosomal RNA". It matches the Rfam family "Bacterial small subunit ribosomal RNA", at positions 30 to 507 of the family's 1533-position model. The record is from RNAcentral.
AUUGAACGCUGGCGGCAGGCCUAACACAUGCAAGUCGAGCGGAUGAAGGGAGCUUGCUCCUGGAUUCGGCGGACGGGUGAGUAAUGCCUAGGAAUCUGCCUGGUAGUGGGGGAUAACGUCCGGAAACGGGCGCUAAUACCGCAUACGUCCUGAGGGAGAAAGUGGGGGAUCUUCGGACCUCACGCUAUCAGAUGAGCCUAGGUCGGAUUAGCUAGUUGGUGGGGUAAAGGCCUACCAAGGCGACGAUCCGUAACUGGUCUGAGAGGAUGAUCAGUCACACUGGAACUGAGACACGGUCCAGACUCCUACGGGAGGCAGCAGUGGGGAAUAUUGGACAAUGGGCGAAAGCCUGAUCCAGCCAUGCCGCGUGUGUGAAGAAGGUCUUCGGAUUGUAAAGCACUUUAAGUUGGGAGGAAGGGCAGUAAGUUAAUACCUUGCUGUUUUGACGUUACCAACAGAAUAAGCACCGGCUAACUUCGUG